AUUGAACGCUGGCGGCAGGCUUAACACAUGCAAGUCGAGCGAGCGGCGGACGGGUGAGUAAUGUCUGGGAAACUGCCUGAUGGAGGGGGAUAACUACUGGAAACGGUAGCUAAUACCGCAUACCAUCGGAUGUGCCCAUAUGGGAUUAGCUAGUAGGUGGGGUAAUGGCUCACCUAGGCGACGAUCCCUAGCUGGUCUGAGAGGAUGACCAGCCACACUGGAACUGAGACACGGUCCAGACUCCUACGGGAGGCAGCAGUGGGGAAUAUUGCACAAUGGGCGCAAGCCUGAUGCAGCCAUGCCGCGUGUGUGAAGAAGGCCUUAGGGUUGUAAAGCACUUUCAGCGAGGAGGCGUUACCCGCAGAAGAAGCACCGGCUAACUCCGUGCCAGCAGCCGCGGUAAUAC
Molecule: ribosomal RNA, 406 nt
Filed under: uncultured bacterium
Lineage: Bacteria
Description: partial 16S ribosomal RNA
Rfam family: Bacterial small subunit ribosomal RNA
Source: RNAcentral